RNAcentral lists this non-coding RNA (25 nucleotides) under Mus musculus (house mouse). The record is from RNAcentral. Lineage: Eukaryota; Metazoa; Chordata; Mammalia; Rodentia; Muridae.
UUAGGAAUUUAGUCUGCUUAGGUGA